AGGAAACUGCAUUAUCAAUUAUGCGGGGAAUUUUAGGUCAACACCAUAUCAAAUGGAAGACAACCUUGUAGAGGAUCGGAAAUACCGCUCGAGAAUCGGGUUAACAGGGGUCAUGGACAACGCUGCUGGCAACUUGAGGGGAAGCAAAAUCUGUCGAGUCGUGCAAACUGCUGCAAAUAACGCGCCUAUAACUCGAGGGAGGCAAUUGCAAACUCAGCUGGGUUACCAACAAAACCCAGAUGGAGAUGCUGAAAUGCUGCUGGAGAAUAAACAGAGGUC
RNAcentral lists this long non-coding RNA (279 nucleotides) under Lathyrus oleraceus (garden pea). Its description in RNAcentral is "Pisum sativum (pea) long non-coding RNA (PSAT_LNC038912)". The record is from RNAcentral. Lineage: Eukaryota; Viridiplantae; Streptophyta; Magnoliopsida; Fabales; Fabaceae.